This 301-nucleotide ribosomal RNA is filed under the name uncultured bacterium. RNAcentral's name for it is "partial 16S ribosomal RNA". It matches the Rfam family "Bacterial small subunit ribosomal RNA", at positions 509 to 807 of the family's 1533-position model. The record is from RNAcentral.
CAGCCGCCACGGGAACACGUAGGGUGCAAGCGUUAAUCGGAAUUACUGGGCGUAAAGCGUGCGCAGGCGGUUAUAUAAGACAGAUGUGAAAUCCCCGGGCUCAACCUGGGAACUGCAUUUGUGACUGUAUAGCUAGAGUACGGCAGAGGGGGAUGGAAUUCCGCGUGUAGCAGUGAAAUGCGUAGAUAUGCGGAGGAAUACCGAUGGCGAAGGCAGCCCCCUGGGCCAAUACUGACGCUCAUGCACGAAAGCGUGGGGAGCAAACAGGAUUAGAUACCCCUGUAGUCCCUGUCUCUUAUAC